Long non-coding RNA from Bos taurus (domestic cattle), 1425 nucleotides. NCBI's taxonomy places the organism in Eukaryota, Metazoa, Chordata, Mammalia, Artiodactyla, Bovidae. The record is from Ensembl.
CUGCGCUAGGUCCCUGCAGAAAUGGGGAGGGGAUGAGAUAAAUAGCUGGGAGCUAGAGUUCGCUAGAGGGUCUAAGACUCAACUAAAUGUUUCCCGAUUUCUUGAGAAAGACGGUGGGGGUGGGGGGAGCUAAAACGUUCAUACCGAUCCACCAGGGCAGUGGUUAGGCUUUCUCUUUCUUACCCAGAAUCUUAGCUGGAAAGAAGACUGCAGUCCUGUAGCAGUUGACAGCCAAGGAUCGCAAAGAACUUUAUGCAUCGCUUAUCCUUGUUUUGCAAAAGACCAGUUACCUAAAGCUUCGGCAGCGGGUGGGGGAUAGAUGUCUAAGUACAUUUACACCAUUAGUCGGUUAGAGGGAAACAAAAGACUCAAAACCUGUGGGUUAGCGGUUUCCUCCUCCAUCUAAAGCCCCUUCUCGUCGUAGACUCUCAGCAACGAAAAUUCUUUUAUUUGUCCAGCUCGACAAGGCCAAAGAGACAGGGCCUAAGACCAGUCAGUACUACUCCGAAGGAGGAAUUAAGAAGAUGUGAUCCAAAAGGGGCUCUGCUUGAGCGCCGCUUCCCCUUCCACCCUCUCCAUCGCCCACCUCCACCAGGAAAAUUAUUCUUACCGAAGCUCAUUUUCCAAGGAACAAAUAUUCCAGCAAGAUCCUGAUUUCUGCCAGCUUUCUCUUCUAACUUCCCCUUCCAGAGUUUCCUGCAUUAAACCCUGUAGAAAGCAGAUUGCAAAGGAGAGGCCUACAGAUCUGGGUUUAUCAUUGUUUGGCCUGCAAAUGUUAGCCAGCACAGUUCUUUUUAACAUUGAAUUACUUAAAAACACUUGAUGUAGGAGAUUUUUGCCGCCACCCGCACCCCCACCCACCAACAAGUCUAGAUUUCUGGUGUCUCUUGAAAAUGGUUAGAUCUGGUUACACUGGAUGUGUACUGGUAUAUGGCCACCAUCUGCUGGAACCCAGCACCUGUUAUCUGCAUUUGGACAUGCAUUUUCAGGUUUACCAACGUCUCUGUCACUCUUCUGGGGUUCCAUUUUGCCACUUUAUACACAUUGUCUUCUUGACCUUUGUAAGGAUUUGCCAUCUCAGAACUUUCUCCGGCACUCAAAUUACUGAUCUACUGACUGAUCCUCUUAAUCAUAGAACAUGAGUUAAAAAGAAACAUGUCAUCUCUUGGCUAUAGCAGAAGUUGAGGAAAAGGAUCCAAUGUAAAGAAUAUCAUGAUAUGCAGUUGCCUGGGUGAUAGUACAUAAGGGAUGGAUUGCAAAGUGGCCUGAGGAAUCUUUUGCUGGUUGUGGAAAUGAUAUGUAUCUUGAUUGUGCUAAUACUUUCAUGGGUGUACAUAACUGUCAAAAUGCAAUAAACUGUACAGUUUUAUUAUGCAGUUAACUGUGUGUAAGUUACGUCUCAAAAUAGUGGAUUUUAAACAAAAA